ACACUAAAAGUUAAAUUUAGCAUAAUCUUAAAGUAUGAAAGUAUACACUAGCUAUGAGGAAAACAUGGGGUGGAAUGUUAAGAAGAGAUUUUCUAUUUAUACAAUACAAUACAUAGCAAAGAAAGAAACAUAUUUAUAGCUUAGUUCUAAUCAAGAAAGAGGUGAAGAGAGCAAAGAAAGCACCAAAACCAAUGAUGGUUGAAUAUCCAACUCCUUGGUUAGAAGAGGUUUUCCUUCAAAGAAACAUGUUUGUCUCACACAUCCACCUCCAUUUCCAGACACAUGAUAAUAUGUGCUAUAAAAUUCAAAGGGAUCAUAUGGUAGGGGUUGGAAAAGAUGUAGGUUCAAGAACUUGGUUUGGGAAUAUCCCUUACUCUGAUUUGUACCAGAAUUCUGUUGCUUAGUUGCUUUGAAUGGAAAGCUUUUUCUCGUCAAAAAAAUAAAUAAAUACAUAAGCCAAGCAUCGAAGGAUGGCCCAUGCUACAUGUAUGUUUGUGUGUUUGAAAUAUUUACCAUAAAAACCUACAAAUUUAUGAUAUUUAUCGCACAAAACAUAAUGUAACAAUCAAUUCUUUACA
Molecule: long non-coding RNA, 578 nt
Organism: Vicia villosa (hairy vetch)
Lineage: Eukaryota; Viridiplantae; Streptophyta; Magnoliopsida; Fabales; Fabaceae
Exons: 2
Source: RefSeq, a predicted model, not a curated record